RNAcentral lists this long non-coding RNA (1230 nucleotides) under Homo sapiens (human). Its description in RNAcentral is "HSALNT0224420". The record is from RNAcentral. Lineage: Eukaryota; Metazoa; Chordata; Mammalia; Primates; Hominidae.
UCCACACAUACACACCUCCACACAGCAUCCACACUUUCACACAGCAUCCACACCUGACACCUCCACACCUCCACACAUACACACCUCCACACAGCAUCCACAGCUCCACACAGCAUCCACACCUCCACACAGCAUCCACACAGCAUCCACACAGCAUCCACAUAGCAUCCACACCUCCACACAGCAUCCAUACCUACUCACCUCCACACAGCAUCCUCACUUACUCACAUCCACACAUCAUCCACAUAGCAUCCACACCGCAUCCACACCUCCACACAGCAUCCACACCUCCACACACACACACAGCCCUGCCUCUACACACACAGCCCCGCCUCCACACACACACACAGCCCAACCUCCACACACGCACACACAGCCCAACCUCCACACAUACACACAGCCCUGCCUCCGCAAACACACGCAGCCCCGCCUCCACACACACACAGCUCCGCCUCCACACACAGAGACACACACACAGAGCCCUACCUCCCCACACAAACACACACAGCCGCACCUCCACACACACACACAGCCCCGCCUCCACACACACACAGCCCUACCUCCCCACACAUAUACACACAGCCCUACCUCCCCACACAUAUACACACAGCCCUACCUCCCCACACACACACACACACAGCCCCACCUCCACAAACACACAGCCCCGCCUCCACACACACAGCCCUGCCGCCACACACACACACACACAGAGCCCUGCUGCCCCAGCCACACACACAGCCCCGCCUCCACACACAGCCCCACCUCCACACACACACACACACACAGCCCCGCUGCCACACACACGUGCACACAGAGCCCCGCCGCCACACACACACAUAUGCUCACGCACACACACAGCCCCACCACACACACAUGCGCAUGCACACACACACACACAGCCCCGCCGCCACACACACAGCCCCACUGCCACAUACACACACACACACACACACACACACACACACACACACACACACACCCCUACCUUGCUGCCAGGGCUCUUGCAAAGACAGGCUUCACCAACCACCAGCCCACAGUUGGCCCGUCCCCAGGGGCUGCACACUAGCCUUAUGGAAAGUUCCUCGAGUUCCCUGUGCGUCAGCUUCUGCCUGUAAAACAGAGAGAGUGCAAACCUACCCACCUUGCCAGCGGCCCUGAGCCCAAAUUUUAAGCCCCAAGCACACAGCCCGGCCAAGGGUCGCUGCUCUGGAAAUGCUGGUUUCCCUGCGC